Molecule: ribosomal RNA, 497 nt
Filed under: uncultured bacterium
Lineage: Bacteria
Description: partial 16S ribosomal RNA
Rfam family: Bacterial small subunit ribosomal RNA
Source: RNAcentral
GAUGAACGCUGGCGGCGUGCCUAAUACAUGCAAGUCGAGCGAACAGAUAAGGAGCUUGCUCCUUUGACGUUAGCGGCGGACGGGUGAGUAACACGUGGGUAACCUACCUAUAAGACUGGAAUAACUCCGGGAAACCGGGGCUAAUGCCGGAUAACAUUUAGAACCGCAUGGUUCUAAAGUGAAAGAUGGUUUUGCUAUCACUUAUAGAUGGACCCGCGCCGUAUUAGCUAGUUGGUAAGGUAACGGCUUACCAAGGCAACGAUACGUAGCCGACCUGAGAGGGUGAUCGGCCACACUGGAACUCAGACACGGUCCAGACUCCUACGGGAGGCAGCAGUAGGGAAUCUUCCGCAAUGGGCGAAAGCCUGACGGAGCAACGCCGCGUGAGUGAUGAAGGUCUUCGGAUCGUAAAACUCUGUUAUUAGGGAAGAACAAAUGUGUAAGUAACUGUGCACGUCUUGACGGUACCUAAUCAGAAAGCCACGGCUAACUACGUG